GGCGCUGCGCGUGGCGCUUUGUUACCGGAUUGCGGGCCACGUUAAACAAGCCGCUAAAGAGGUCGGACGAAAGCCCCU
Molecule: non-coding RNA, 78 nt
Filed under: Salipiger abyssi
Lineage: Bacteria; Pseudomonadati; Pseudomonadota; Alphaproteobacteria; Rhodobacterales; Roseobacteraceae
Source: RNAcentral